GAUUUCAACUGAAAAAGUCAUCAACAACAAAAUUGUAUAACUCAUCAAGUUCUAUAACUUUUAUUUUGGUCAUUUCUACAUCCGACAAAGUGAUAGUAACAUUGUUCACAAAAUUUACAUCUCUGUCAUUUGUUUUUAUAAACUAGAAGAGAGAGAUGUAAAUUUUGUGAACAAUGUUAUUAUCACUUUGUCGGAUGAAGAAAUGACUAAAAUAAAAGUUGUAUGUCUUGAUGAGUUCUACAACUUUUAUGUUCAUGACUUUUUCAGCUGAAUUU
This 275-nucleotide microRNA precursor is filed under the name Oryza barthii. Its description in RNAcentral is "MIR821 microRNA precursor family". It matches the Rfam family "MIR821 microRNA precursor family". The record is from Rfam by way of RNAcentral. Lineage: Eukaryota; Viridiplantae; Streptophyta; Magnoliopsida; Poales; Poaceae.